Molecule: ribosomal RNA, 419 nt
Filed under: uncultured prokaryote
Description: bacterial SSU rRNA
Rfam family: Bacterial small subunit ribosomal RNA
Source: RNAcentral
UGAGGAAUAUUGCUCAAUGGCCGCAAGGCUGAAGCAGCAACGCCGCGUGAGGGAUGAAGGAUCUAUGGUCUGUAAACCUCUGUAGAGAAGGAAAAAUAACCCAUUAUAUGGGCUUGAUAGUACUUCUAGAGUAAGCCCCGGCUAACUACGUGCCAGCAGCCGCGGUAAUACGUAGGGGGCGGGCGUUGUCCGGAAUCACUGGGUGUAAAGGGUGCUCAGGCGGGUCGAUAGGUCAGAGGUGAAAUUUCACAGCUUAACUGUGAAUGUGCUUUUGAUACUGUCGGUCUAGAGUUCAGAAGAGGGGAAUGGAAUUCGUGGUGUAGCGGUGAAAUGCGUAGAUAUCAAGAAGAACACCAGUUGCGAAGGCGGUUGCCUGGUCUGUAACUGACGCUCAAGCACGAAAGCGUGGGGAUCAAACA